GACUACAGGGGUAUCUAAGCCUGUUCGCUCCCCACGCUUUCGUAUCUCAGCGUCAGUUACAGUCCAGAAAGUCGCCUUCGCCACUGGUGUUCUUCCUAAUCUCUACGCAUUUCACCGCUACACUAGGAAUUCCACUUUCCUCUCCUGCACUCUAGAUAUUCAGUAUCAAAUGCAGCUCCCAGGUUAAGCCCGGGGAUUUCACAUCUGACUUAAAUAUCCGCCUACAUACUCUUUACGCCCAGUAAUUCCGGACAACGCUUGCCACCUACGUAUUACCGCGGCUGCUGGCACGUAGUUAGCCGUGGCUUCCUCCUUGGGUACCGUCAUUAUCGUCCCCAAAGACAGGGCUUUACAAUCCGAAAACCUUCAUCACCCACGCGGCGUUGCUGCGUCAGGGUUUCCCCCAUUGCGCAAUAUUCCCCACUGCAGCCGCCCGUAGG
This 440-nucleotide ribosomal RNA is filed under the name uncultured Clostridium sp. RNAcentral's name for it is "partial 16S ribosomal RNA". The record is from RNAcentral. Lineage: Bacteria; Bacillati; Bacillota; Clostridia; Eubacteriales; Clostridiaceae.